CCUACGGGGGGCAGCAGUAGGGAAUCUUUCACAAUGGGCGAAAGCCUGAUGGAGCAACGCCGCGUGCAGGAUGAAGGCCUUCGGGUUGUAAACUGCUUUUAUAAGCGAGAAAUAUGAUGGUAACUUAUGAAUAAGGAUCGGCUAACUACGUGCCAGCAGCCGCGGUCAUACGUAGGAUCCGAGCAUUAUCCGGAGUGACUGGGUGUAAAGAGUUGCGUAGGUGGCAUAAUAAGUAGCUAGUGAAAUCUGGUGGCUCAACCAUUCAGACGAUUAGCUAAACUGUUAAGCUCGAGACCGUUAGGGGUAACUGGAAUUUCUAGUGUAGGAGUGAAAUCCGUAGAUAUUAGAAGGAACACCAAUAGCGUAGGCAGGUUGCUGGGACGGUUCUGACACUAAGGCACGAAAGCGUAGGGAGCAAACGGGAUUAGAUACCCGUGUAGUC
RNAcentral lists this ribosomal RNA (442 nucleotides) under uncultured bacterium. RNAcentral's name for it is "partial 16S ribosomal RNA". It matches the Rfam family "Bacterial small subunit ribosomal RNA", at positions 338 to 795 of the family's 1533-position model. The record is from RNAcentral.